RNAcentral lists this ribosomal RNA (208 nucleotides) under uncultured bacterium. Its description in RNAcentral is "partial 16S ribosomal RNA". It matches the Rfam family "Bacterial small subunit ribosomal RNA", at positions 1293 to 1500 of the family's 1533-position model. The record is from RNAcentral.
UCGGAUUGUAGUCUGNAACCCGACUACAUGAAGCUGGAAUCGCUAGUAAUCGCAGGUCAGCAUACUGCGGUGAAUACGUUCCCGGGUCUUGUACACACCGCCCGUCACACCAUGGGAGCCGGAAAUGCCCGAAGCCAGUGACCCAACCUUAGGGAGGGAGCUGUCGAAGGUGGAGCCGGUAACAGGGGUGAAGUCGUAACAAGGUAUC